AAGCUUGCUUCACUUGCCGGCGACCGGCGCACGGGUGAGUAACGCGUAUCCCACCUUCCGUACACUCAGGGAUAGCCUUUCGAAAGAAAGAUUCAUACCUGAUGGUAUGAUGAGAUUGCAUGAUAGCAUCAUUAAAGAUUUAUCGGUGUACGAUGGGGAUGCGUUCCAUUAGGUAGUAGGCGGGGUAACGGCCCACCUAGCCGACGAUGGAUAGGGGUUCUGAGAGGAAGGUCCCCCACAUUGGAACUGAGACACGGUCCAAACUCCUACGGGAGGCAGCAGUGAGGAAUAUUGGUCAAUGGACGAGAGUCUGAACCAGCCAAGUAGCGUGAAGGAUGAAGGUCCUACGGAUUGUAAACUUCUUUUAUAAGGGAAUAAAACCUCCCACGUGUGGGAGCUUGUAUGUACCUUAUGAAUAAGCAUCGGCUAACUCCGUACCAGCAGCCGCGGUAAUACGGAGGAUGCGAGCGUUAUCCGGAUUUAUUGGGUUUAAAGGGAGCGCAGACGGGUCGUUAAGUCAGCUGUGAAAGUUUGGGGCUCAACCUUAAAAUUGCAGUUGAUACUGGCGUCCUUGAGUGCGGUUGAGGUGUGCGGAAUUCGUGGUGUAGCGGUGAAAUGCUUAGAUAUCACGAAGAACUCCGAUUG
This 645-nucleotide ribosomal RNA is filed under the name uncultured Bacteroides sp. Its description in RNAcentral is "bacterial SSU rRNA". It matches the Rfam family "Bacterial small subunit ribosomal RNA", at positions 76 to 715 of the family's 1533-position model. The record is from RNAcentral. Lineage: Bacteria; Pseudomonadati; Bacteroidota; Bacteroidia; Bacteroidales; Bacteroidaceae.